AGCUUAUCUCAAUGUUUACGAUCUGACGUCGAUUAAUGGCUACGCAUACUGGCUCGGCCUUGGGGUCUACCAUUCCGGCGUGCAAGGAUUUUCGGUGCUAAGAUAGUAAAGGAAGAUGAAUGAGAGAAACGAAAAGCUAGGUUUUUAACGGCUAAUUGAACUUGGGGCUGUCA
Molecule: long non-coding RNA, 173 nt
Organism: Juglans microcarpa x Juglans regia
Lineage: Eukaryota; Viridiplantae; Streptophyta; Magnoliopsida; Fagales; Juglandaceae
Exons: 2
Source: RefSeq, a predicted model, not a curated record